Bombina bombina (fire-bellied toad) is the source of this 1560-nucleotide long non-coding RNA. RefSeq lists it as uncharacterized. The record is from RefSeq and is a predicted model, not a curated record. The transcript is spliced from 2 exons. NCBI's taxonomy places the organism in Eukaryota, Metazoa, Chordata, Amphibia, Anura, Bombinatoridae.
CUGUCAUAGGAGCAGCGGCCCAGAUAGAACACUAAGUACUGAAGCCAAUGUAUCCAGCAUGAGAGGAGGACACACCCAGCCUGAUCCUGGCAGCAGCAGGAGAAUGCCAGAACAUACGUAUCUGAGAUGCAAAGACUUGUGCAGGUCCCUGCUUGUUCCUCGUGUCUGACACACACAGAUUAUCCAGACCAACAAGAGAGGCUUCCUAAACCAGCUGAACUCGUUUGUGGAGCCCACCUGGGAUUGUGGGGCAUCAGUCUCAUUCAGAUGACUCACUGACGAGAGAGAAGGGAUAUACUUUUGGCAGACAAGAAUGUUGUAACAAAGAGGAUCAGUGACCAGUUUACUUCUCCGAGAUUUACCAGAAAAUAUACAACUAUGGGAAAGAAAAUGCUUAUUUGCCUAUUUUAUAGCAUCAAAUUCUAGUUUUCACUAUGGAUAAAUAUCAGUUUACCCUAAAAUGCCCCCGGAAACCCCAAAGGCACUUAGCAAUAAAGCACAGUCCCUAGUGUGUUUAAUGACAAUUAUAUCUGUUAGGCUACAGUUAGUAGGGGGCAUUCAGAAGAAUAACUGGUUUCAAUAUCUGCCAAAAAACCCAAUUGCUUAUUCAGGUGCAGAUGCAGCCCUACCCGGUAAAGCUGCUGGGCAUGUUGUACACACGUCAGUAAAGAGCAGUGAAGCAUGAGCAUCGGGCUGGCACGUGAAAUACAAUGACCAAGCUGUUCCUUCAUUCAAUUAGCUGGCCAUAAAGCAAGACUGCAUUAAAGAGACAUAGAAGUGCAAAAACAAAAUGUUCUAAUGUGUAGCGUUUAAUCAUUGCUUCCAUGUACCUAUAUGUUUAUUCCCUGCAAAAGUCUCUUAAAACUGCAUGCUCUAUCCGAAUAGUUUAAUUUUAACUUACAUGUCCCUUUAAAUCAUAAAAUGGUUAAUCAUUUUUUAAUGAAAUAAGUUUAUUUUCCCCACUGCAUAAAACUGACAUGCACCCAGCAGUAUUCUGAACUCUGACUCAAACACUUUGCACAACUUUUACUUAACCAGGACAGAUGUCUCCCUAAUUGGCCACAGCAGGGGUAGACCUCCCACUUGUCCCUAUUUGAGAGGGAUAGUCACCAAUUCUAAAGCCCUGUCCCACUCUGUGACUGAGACCGCCAUAUGUCCCUAUUUGCAGAAUUUUCCUUAGCCCCACCCACUGACCGCCAACACACACCCACAAUACCACUAAUUACCAUGUAUAAUCUCUCCUGAAUGGCCCUACCCACAAAAUGAUGAUAGCCUCUAAAUCUCCUGAGUCUCUAAUACCUAGCCACAAAUGUUGGGAGGUAUGCAGGUGAUGUAAGAAACAAUGCUCAAGACUUUUUAAGGGGUAUUCCCUGGACUCCUCUUAAACAAUGCACAAUUUGCUAAAACUAUUAUAGUGUAAAAUAUUUUGUAUACAGAUCUUUUGCAACAAAGUGCUUAAUUAUAUAAAAAAUGACUAACAUCCUUUCAACUUAUACAAUCACAAAAUAACCAAAAUGUAAAAUGGUUUGUAUUAAAGUUUUCAGGGUUGUUUUUAAGAAA